RNAcentral lists this ribosomal RNA (360 nucleotides) under Calanus finmarchicus. RNAcentral describes it as "partial small subunit ribosomal RNA". It matches the Rfam family "Bacterial large subunit ribosomal RNA", at positions 2045 to 2620 of the family's 2925-position model. Lineage: Eukaryota; Metazoa; Arthropoda; Copepoda; Calanoida; Calanidae. The record is from RNAcentral.
UUAAAUAUAGUUUUUAUCCUCAUUUGCGAAAUUUUAAUCUAAGUGAAAAUACUUAGCAGUUGUACUAGGACGAGAAGACCCUAUGAAGCUGGCAAACUAUUAAUACAUAUUCCUAUUAUUUAUUAGUUUAUUUUUUGGGGUAAAAUUUAAUAAUACUAUUAACACAAUUGUACUAAAUUACAUCCUUUAGGAAUUAUGAAGAAGCUCCUCUAGGGAUAACAGCAUUAUGCUUAAAAGAGUUCUUAUCAGAAUAAGCGUUUGUGACCUCGAUGUUGAAUUAAAUGCUCUUUUAUGUGCAGGAGCUUAGAAGAGACGGUCUGUUCGACCUAUUAUAUUUACAUGAUUUGAGUUAAAAUCGAC